CAGGGAAUCUUGCGCAAUGGGCGAAAGCCUGACGCAGCGACACCGCGUGGGGGAUGAAGGCUCUUGGGUCGUAAACCCCUUUUGUCGGGGAAGAGAAAGGACUGUACCCGACGAAUAAGGUUCGGCUAACUACGUGCCAGCAGCCGCGGUAAUACGUAGGAACCGAGCGUUGUCCGGAUUUACUGGGCGUAAAGUGCGCGUAGGCGGUUUGUUAAGUCUCAUGUGAAAUCUCCCGGCUCAACUGGGAGGGGUCAUGGGAUACUGGCAGACUUGAGUGCGGCAGAGGGGAGUGGAAUUCCCGGAGUAGUGGUGGAAUGCGUAGAUACCGGGAGGAACACCAGAGGCGAAGGCGACUCCCUGGGCCGUGUCUGACGCUGAGGCGCGAAAGCGUGGGUAGCAAACCGG
RNAcentral lists this ribosomal RNA (405 nucleotides) under uncultured Chloroflexota bacterium. Its description in RNAcentral is "bacterial SSU rRNA". It matches the Rfam family "Bacterial small subunit ribosomal RNA", at positions 355 to 776 of the family's 1533-position model. Lineage: Bacteria; Bacillati; Chloroflexota. The record is from RNAcentral.